RNAcentral lists this ribosomal RNA (494 nucleotides) under uncultured bacterium. RNAcentral describes it as "partial 16S ribosomal RNA". It matches the Rfam family "Bacterial small subunit ribosomal RNA", at positions 28 to 507 of the family's 1533-position model. The record is from RNAcentral.
GACGAACGCUGGCGGCGCGCUUAACACAUGCAAGUCGAACGGAAAGGCCUGCUUUCCCUUGUGGAUUGCGGGUACUCGAGUGGCGAACGGGUGAGUAACACGUGAGUGAUCUGCCCCCAACUUGGGUAUAAGCCUGGGAAACUGGGUCUAAUUCCCGAUAGGACUGCAGGGUGGUGCCUGUGGUGGAAAACGAUUCUCUAGUGGUUGGGGAUGAGCUCGCGGCCUAUCAGCUUGUUGGUGGGGUAAUGGCCUACCAAGGCGGCGACGGGUAGCCGGCCUGGGAGGGUGGACGGCCACAUUGGGACUGAGAUACGGCCCAGACUCCUACGGGAGGCAGCAGUGGGGAAUAUUGCACAAUGGGCGGAAGCCUGAUGCAGGGACGCCGCGUGGGGGAUGACGGCCUUCGGGUUGUAAACUCCUUUCGACCGCGAGGAAGCCACCUGGUUGGAAGGGUGGUGACGGUAGUGGUAGAAGAAGCACCGGCUAACUACGUG